Molecule: non-coding RNA, 408 nt
Filed under: Daphnia pulex (common water flea)
Lineage: Eukaryota; Metazoa; Arthropoda; Branchiopoda; Diplostraca; Daphniidae
Description: Eukaryotic small subunit ribosomal RNA
Rfam family: Eukaryotic small subunit ribosomal RNA
Source: Rfam by way of RNAcentral
GUGCGUCGUUGUUGUAUCUGCGGCCAGAGUUGGAAAGUUCUUUCGGGUUCUUUUUUAAUUUUGGUCGUAGUUGACUCGAUUCGCUCCACCCAGUCAAUCGUUCGGGGUGCCCUUCACCGGGUGUCUCGGGCGGCCGGCAACGUUUACUUUGAACAAAUUAGAGUGCUCAAAGCAGGUGUAUCCCAACGCCUGAAUAUCGCAGCAUGGAAUGAUGGAAUAGGACCUCGGUCCGAUUUUGCUGGUCUUUUACUUUUGGACCCGAGGUAAUGGUCAAUAGAGACGGACGGNGGCAUUCGUACUGCGGCGACAGAGGUGAAAUUCUUGGACCGCCGCAAGACGAACAACAGCGAAGGCAUUUGCCAAGAAUGUUUUCCUUGAUCAAGAACGAAAGUUAGAGGUUCGAAGGCG